Molecule: ribosomal RNA, 1080 nt
Filed under: Triticum aestivum (bread wheat)
Lineage: Eukaryota; Viridiplantae; Streptophyta; Magnoliopsida; Poales; Poaceae
Description: partial small subunit ribosomal RNA
Source: RNAcentral
AUGGCAGAGCGCUUCUCCAGAGACGAGGCGGCGGCGAACGGCUUCGGCCGCCGUUCGCUCCGCGAACAGGAGUCCUGGCUCCUGUUCCAGGCGAACAUCCCGGCGCCGCCAGACAUGCGCGCCGGGCCGACGGGGUGGCGGCUCAGCGACGGGGGAGUGCCCGUUCCCCCGUUACCCGACGCCGUGGCGAAGCCCAGGUACUUCGCCGAGGAGGUCGAGGUCGCGCACGCCUCCCUGACCGACGACGAGCGCUCCCUCCCCCAGUACGCCGCCGGCAAUCACGCGGCUUGGGCGGCGUACUUCCAGCGCCGCCAGCAGCAGCGCCUGGCCUCCACCAACGACGCGCCGGUGGUCGGCGGCGCGAAGAACAGCGAGGGGCGCCACCUGUGGUGGGGCGUCCCCGGCCGCACGCUGGAUGGCGUGCUGGCGUACCUCGACGGCGGCAACAACCCGCCAUUGACCUAUCCUGCGACGGGGGCCGCCCCGUCGCAACACCGACGCGCAUGGGCGCCAAGGAGGUUCGUCUCCUCGUCUUCCUCUCGCUCAUCUUCCCACUCCUCCGGUUCUCCGGCGCUUCUCGGCGUCAAGGCCGAGCCCGCGGCGGAGACGCCAAUCGGUCGGCGCACUCGCAGCGUCGGCAUCGUCAUCAACGAGGGCGGCCGGCGCGCCUCCUCCUCGUUGGCUCCUCCGCGCUUCGUCAAGCCAAAGAUGGAGCCGGGGCUGGCGCUGGUGAAGACGGAGCCGGGGCUGGCGCCGGUGAAGGCGGAGUUCGACGACGACGACGCGGCCCUAGAAUGGGCGCGCCAGGACUCCAUUGCGAUGGAGAAGGCGCGCCGGGAGAAGGAGAAGGAGCGCCAGCGCGCCGCCCUGCGCCGCUUCGAGGAGCGCCGACGCGGCCGCGAUGAAGACGGGGUCGUCGUCUUAUGCGACAGUGACGACGACGACGACGACGCGCCGCCGCCAGUCCGCCAUGGCGACGCCGGGCAGGGGUCCAGCAGGGGCGCCCGCGUCAAGGAGGAGAAGGCCGACGACGACGAUGGCGGCGACGGCGGCGACGACUUCAGCCCCUUUCUUUUUUAG